RNAcentral lists this ribosomal RNA (492 nucleotides) under uncultured bacterium. RNAcentral's name for it is "partial 16S ribosomal RNA". It matches the Rfam family "Bacterial small subunit ribosomal RNA", at positions 29 to 507 of the family's 1533-position model. The record is from RNAcentral.
AGUGAACGCUGGCGGUAGGCCUAACACAUGCAAGUCGAACGGCAGCACAGUAAGAGCUUGCUCUUACGGGUGGCGAGUGGCGGACGGGUGAGGAAUACAUCGGAAUCUACUUUUUCGGGGGGGAUAACGUAGGGAAACUUACGCUAAUACCGCAUACGACCUACGGGUGAAAGCAGGGGAUCUUCGGACCUUGCGCGAUUGAAUGAGCCGAUGUCGGAUUAGCUAGUUGGCGGGGUAAAGGCCCACCAAGGCGACGAUCCGUAGCUGGUCUGAGAGGAUGAUCAGACACACUGGAACUGAGACACGGUCCACACUCCUACGGGGGGCAGCAGUGGGGACUAUUGGACAAUGGGCGCAAGCCUAAUCCAGCCAUACCGCGUGAGUGCAGAAGGCCUUCGGGUUGUAAAGCCCUUUUGUUGGGAAAGAAAAGCAGCAGGUUAAUACCCGGCUGUUAUGACGGUACCCAAAGAAUAAGCACCGGCUAACUUCGUG